AAAAAAACACUUGUAUAUUUUUUAUUCUUUUUAUAUUUAAAGCAUUAUUUGAGUAGAGUGAAACGUAUUACAACAAAUCGUAUUAAAAAACAUCAAUUUAAAAAUUUUGUUAAAUUUCCCAAACAAAAAACCUAAGGCUACAAAGCCUUACGAGAUUCGCAUAUUUAUAGAAACAUCUGAGACAUCUAUACAGACAUACAGACAUCCAAAGGGCACGGCCGUCCAUGAAAAAAAUGUAGCCAUUGGUGCCAUCUAUCGACCACAGGUUAGAGAUUGGCGAUUUGUUGGAUACCGACCGAGUUAUAGGCAAAACUUGGUGCAAAAAUGAAGAAAAUUUUACAUUUUCUCAAACAGGGUAAGGAACUUGGUUCCUCGAAUAACUUCUGGCACAGACAUCUGACGGCAUGGCCGUCCAAGAAGAAAAUGUAGCCAUUGGUGCCAUCUAUCGACCACAGGUUAAAGAUUGGCGAUCCGUUGGAUACCGACCGAGUUAUAGGCAAAAUUUGGUGCAAAAAUGAAGAAAAUUUUCAUUUUUUUUUUGAAUUUUUUGAUUUUUUUAUUAUUUUCACUCUUUUUUUUAUUUCAAGCAUUAUUAGAGUGAAAAGAAAUUCAUUACAACCCAUCGGCAUUUAAAUAAAACAAUUUUAUUUUUUUUGCAAAAUUUCCCAAAAAAAUCGUAAGGGGUAAGCCUUAUGAAAUUUUCGAGUGGAAAUUUUUUUUAAAUUUUUUUUCUGAUUUUUUAUUCUUUUUUUAAUUUAAAGCACUAUUUAAGUGAAAUGAAACUUAUUGCAACAAAUUCCCAUCAAAAUAUAUCACAUUUAAAAUUUUUGCUACAUUGUUCAAAAAUGAGGAAAAUUUUACAUUUUCUCAAACAGGGUAAGGAACUUGGUUCCUCGAAUAACUUCUGGCACAGACAUCUAAGGACAUGGCUGUCCAAGAAGAAAAUGUAGCCAUUGGUGCCAUCUAUCGACCACAGGUUAAAGUUUGGCGAUCCGUUGGAUACCGACCGAGUUAUAGGCAAAACUUGGUGCAAAAAUGAGGAAAAUUUUACAUUUUCUCAAACAGGGUAUGGAACUUGGUUCCUCGAAUAACUUCUGGCACAGACAUCUGAGGGCAUGGCCGUCCAAGAAGAAAAUGUAGCCAUUGGUGCCAUCUAUCGACCACAGGUUAAAGAUUGGCGAUCCGUUGGAUACCGACCGAGUUAUAGGCAAAAUUUGGUGCAAAAAUGAAGAAAAUUUUACAUUUUUUUUUUGAAUUUUUUGAUUUUUUUAUUAUUUUCACUCUUUUUUUAUUUCAAGCAUUAUUUGAGUGAAAAGAAACUCAUUGCAACCCAUUGGCAUUAAAAUAAAACAAUUUUAUUUUUUUUGCAAAAUUUCCCAAAAAAAUCGUAAGGGGUAAGCCUUAUGAAAUUUUCGAGUGGAAAAUUUUUUUGAAAUUUUUUUCUGAUUUUUUAUUCUUUUUUUAAUUUAAAGCACUAUUUAAGUGAAAAGAAACUUAUUGCAACAAAUUCCCAUCAAAAUAUAUCACAUUUAAAAUUUUUGCUACAUUGCUCAAAAACGAGGAAAAUUUUACAUUUUCUCAAACAGGGUAAGGAACUUGGUUCCUCGAAUAACUUCUGGUACAGAUAUCUAAGGGUAUGGCUGUCCAAGAAGAAAAUGUAGCCAUUGGUGCCAUCUAUCGACCACAGGUUAAAGUUUGGCGAUCCGUUGGAUACCGACCGAGUUAUAGGCAAAACUUGGUGCAAAAAUGAAGAAAAUUUUACAUUUUCUCAAACAGGGUAUGGAACUUGGUUCCUCGAAUAACUUCUGGCACAGACAUCUGAGGGCAUGGCUGUCCAAGAAGAAAAUGUAGUCAUUGGUGCCAUCUAUCGACCACAGGUUAAAGAUUGGCGAUCCGUUGGAUACCGACCGAGUUAUAGGCAAAAUUUGGUGCAAAAAUGAAGAAAAUUUUACAUUUUUUUUGAAUUUUUUGAUUUUUUUAUUAUUUUUCACUCUUUUUUCUAUUUCAAGCAUUAUUAGAGUGAAAAGAAACUCAUUGCAACCCAUUGGCAUUAAAAUAAAACAAUUUUAUUUUUUUUGCAAAAUUUCCCAAAAAAAUCGUAAGGGGUAAGCCUUAUGAAAUUUUCGAGUGGAAAAUUUUUUUGAAAUUUUUUUCUGAUUUUUUAUUCUUUUUUUAAUUUAAAGCACUAUUUAAGUGAAAGGAAACUUAUUGCAACAAAUUCCCAUCAAAAUAUAUCACAUUUAAAAUUUUUGCUACAUUGCUCAAAAAUGAGGAAAAUUUUACAUUUUCUCAAACAGGGUAAGGAGCUUGGUUCCUCGAAUAACUUCUGGCACAGACAUCUAAGGACAUGGCUGUCCAAGAAGAAAAUGUAGCCAUUGGUGCCAUCUAUCGACCACAGGUUAAAGUUUGGCGAUCCGUUGGAUACCGACCGAGUUAUAAGCAAAACUUGGUGCAAAAAUGAAUAAAAUUUUACAUUUUCUCAAACAGGGUAUGGAACUUGGUUCCUCGAAUAACUUCUGGCAGAGACAUCUGAGGGCAUGGCCGUCCAAGAAGAAAAUGUAGCCAUUGGUGCCAUCUAUCGACCACAGGUUAAAGAUUGGCGAUCCGUUGGAUACCGACCGAGUUAUAGGCAAAAUUUGGUGCAAAAAUGAAGAAAAUUUUCAUUUUUUUUUUGAAUUUUUUGAUUUUUUUAUUAUUUUCACUCUUUUUUUUAUUUCAAGCAUUAUUAGAGUGAAAAGAAAUUCAUUACAACCCAUCGGCAUUUAAAUAAAACAAUUUUAUUUUUUUUGCAAAAUUUCCCAAAAAAAUCGUAAGGGGUAAGCCUUAUGAAAUUUUCGAGUGGAAAUUUUUUUUAAAUUUUUUUUCUGAUUUUUUAUUCUUUUUUUAAUUUAAAGCACUAUUUAAGUGAAAUGAAACUUAUUGCAACAAAUUCCCAUCAAAAUAUAUCACAUUUAAAAUUUUUGCUACAUUGUUCAAAAAUGAGGAAAAUUUUACAUUUUCUCAAACAGGGUAAGGAACUUGGUUCCUCGAAUAACUUCUGGCACAGACAUCUAAGGACAUGGCUGUCCAAGAAGAAAAUGUAGCCAUUGGUGCCAUCUAUCGACCACAGGUUAAAGUUUGGCGAUCCGUUGGAUACCGACCGAGUUAUAGGCAAAACUUGGUGCAAAAAUGAGGAAAAUUUUACAUUUUCUCAAACAGGGUAUGGAACUUGGUUCCUCGAAUAACUUCUGGCACAGACAUCUGAGGGCAUGGCCGUCCAAGAAGAAAAUGUAGCCAUUGGUGCCAUCUAUCGACCACAGGUUAGAGAUUGGCGAUUUGUUGGAUACCGACCGAGUUAUAGGCAAAACUUGGUGCAAAAAUGAAGAAAAUUUUACAUUUUCUCAAACAGGGUAAGGAACUUGGUUCCUCGAAUAACUUCUGGCACAGACAUCUGACGGCAUGGCCGUCCAAGAAGAAAAUGUAGCCAUUGGUGCCAUCUAUCGACCACAGGUUAAAGAUUGGCGAUCCGUUGGAUACCGACCGAGUUAUAGGCAAAAUUUGGUGCAAAAAUGAAGAAAAUUUUCAUUUUUUUUUUUGAAUUUUUUGAUUUUUUUAUUAUUUUCACUCUUUUUUUUAUUUCAAGCAUUAUUAGAGUGAAAAGAAAUUCAUUACAACCCAUCGGCAUUUAAAUAAAACAAUUUUAUUUUUUUUGCAAAAUUUCCCAAAAAAAUCGUAAGGGGUAAGCCUUAUGAAAUUUUCGAGUGGAAAUUUUUUUUAAAUUUUUUUUCUGAUUUUUUAUUCUUUUUUUAAUUUAAAGCACUAUUUAAGUGAAAUGAAACUUAUUGCAACAAAUUCCCAUCAAAAUAUAUCACAUUUAAAAUUUUUGCUACAUUGUUCAAAAAUGAGGAAAAUUUUACAUUUUCUCAAACAGGGUAAGGAACUUGGUUCCUCGAAUAACUUCUGGCACAGACAUCUAAGGACAUGGCUGUCCAAGAAGAAAAUGUAGCCAUUGGUGCCAUCUAUCGACCACAGGUUAAAGUUUGGCGAUCCGUUGGAUACCGACCGAGUUAUAGGCAAAACUUGGUGCAAAAAUGAGGAAAAUUUUACAUUUUCUCAAACAGGGUAUGGAACUUGGUUCCUCGAAUAACUUCUGGCACAGACAUCUGAGGGCAUGGCUGUCCAAGAAGAAAAUGUAGCCAUUGGUGCCAUCUAUCGACCACAGGUUAAAGAUUGGCGAUCCGUUGGAUACCGACCGAGUUAUAGGCAAAAUUUGGUGCAAAAAUGAAGAAAAUUUUACAUUUUUUUUUUGAAUUUUUUGAUUUUUUUAUUAUUUUCACUCUUUUUUUAUUUCAAGCAUUAUUUGAGCGAAAAGAAACUCAUUGCAACCCAUUGGCAUUAAAAUAAAACAAUUUUAUUUUUUUUGCAAAAUUUCCCAAAAAAAUCGUAAGGGGUAAGCCUUAUGAAAUUUUCGAGUGGAAAAUUUUUUUGAAAUUUUUUUCUGAUUUUUUAUUCUUUUUUUAAUUUAAAGCACUAUUUAAGUGAAAAGAAACUUAUUGCAACAAAUUCCCAUCAAAAUAUAUCACAUUUAAAAUUUUUGCUACAUUGCUCAAAAACGAGGAAAAUUUUACAUUUUCUCAAACAGGGUAAGGAACUUGGUUCCUCGAAUAACUUCUGGUACAGACAUCUAAGGGUAUGGCUGUCCAAGAAGAAAAUGUAGCCAUUGGUGCCAUCUAUCGACCACAGGUUAAAGUUUGGCGAUCCGUUGGAUACCGACCGAGUUAUAGGCAAAACUUUGUGCAAAAAUGAAGAAAAUUUUACAUUUUCUCAAACAGGGUAUGGAACUUGGUUCCUCGAAUAACUUCUGGCACAGACAUCUGAGGGCAUGGCUGUCCAAGAAGAAAAUGUAGUCAUUGGUGCCAUCUAUCGACCACAGGUUAAAGAUUGGCGAUCCGUUGGAUACCGACCGAGUUAUAGGCAAAAUUUGGUGCAAAAAUGAAGAAAAUUUUACAUUUUUUUUGAAUUUUUUGAUUUUUUUAUUAUUUUUCACUCUUUUUUCUAUUUCAAGCAUUAUUAGAGUGAAAAGAAACUCAUUGCAACCCAUUGGCAUUAAAAUAAAACAAUUUUAUUUUUUUUGCAAAAUUUCCCAAAAAAAUCGUAAGGGGUAAGCCUUAUGAAAUUUUCGAGUGGAAAAUUUUUUUGAAAUUUUUUUCUGAUUUUUUAUUCUUUUUUUAAUUUAAAGCACUAUUUAAGUGAAAGGAAACUUAUUGCAACAAAUUCCCAUCAAAAUAUAUCACAUUUAAAAUUUUUGCUACAUUGCUCAAAAAUGAGGAAAAUUUUACAUUUUUUCAAACAGGGUAAGGAGCUUGGUUCCUCGAAUAACUUCUGGCACAGACAUCUAAGGACAUGGCUGUCCAAGAAGAAAAUGUAGCCAUUGGUGCCAUCUAUCGACCACAGGUUAAAGUUUGGCGAUCCGUUGGAUACCGACCGAGUUAUAAGCAAAACUUGGUGCAAAAAUGAAUAAAAUUUUACAUUUUCUCAAACAGGGUAUGGAACUUGGUUCCUCGAAUAACUUCUGGCAGAGACAUCUGAGGGCAUGGCCGUCCAAGAAGAAAAUGUAGCCAUUGGUGCCAUCUAUCGACCACAGGUUAAAGAUUGGCGAUCCGUUGGAUACCGACCGAGUUAUAGGCAAAAUUUGGUGCAAAAAUGAAGAAAAUUUUCAUUUUUUUUUUGAAUUUUUUGAUUUUUUUAUUAUUUUCACUCUUUUUUUUAUUUCAAGCAUUAUUAGAGUGAAAAGAAAUUCAUUACAACCCAUCGGCAUUUAAAUAAAACAAUUUUAUUUUUUUUGCAAAAUUUCCCAAAAAAAUCGUAAGGGGUAAGCCUUAUGAAAUUUUCGAGUGGAAAUUUUUUUUAAAUUUUUUUUCUGAUUUUUUAUUCUUUUUUUAAUUUAAAGCACUAUUUAAGUGAAAUGAAACUUAUUGCAACAAAUUCCCAUCAAAAUAUAUCACAUUUAAAAUUUUUGCUACAUUGUUCAAAAAUGAGGAAAAUUUUACAUUUUCUCAAACAGGGUAAGGAACUUGGUUCCUCGAAUAACUUCUGGCACAGACAUCUAAGGACAUGACUGUCCAAGAAGAAAAUGUAGCCAUUGGUGCCAUCUAUCGACCACAGGUUAAAGUUUGGCGAUCCGUUGGAUACCGACCGAGUUAUAGGCAAAACUUGGUGCAAAAAUGAGGAAAAUUUUACAUUUUCUCAAACAGGGUAUGGAACUUGGUUCCUCGAAUAACUUCUGGCACAGACAUCUGAGGGCAUGGCCGUCCAAGAAGAAAAUGUAGCCAUUGGUGCCAUCUAUCGACCACAGGUUAAAGAUUGGCGAUCCGUUGGAUACCGACCGAGUUAUAGGCAAAAUUUGGUGCAAAAAUGAAGAAAAUUUUACAUUUUUUUUUUGAAUUUUUUGAUUUUUUUAUUAUUUUCACUCUUUUUUUAUUUCAAGCAUUAUUUGAGUGAAAAGAAACUCAUUGCAACCCAUUGGCAUUAAAAUAAAACAAUUUUAUUUUUUUUGCAAAAUUUCCCAAAAAAAUCGUAAGGGGUAAGCCUUAUGAAAUUUUCGAGUGGAAAAUUUUUUUGAAAUUUUUUUCUGAUUUUUUAUUCUUUUUUUAAUUUAAAGCACUAUUUAAGUGAAAAGAAACUUAUUGCAACAAAUUCCCAUCAAAAUAUAUCACAUUUAAAAUUUUUGCUACAUUGCUCAAAAACGAGGAAAAUUUUACAUUUUCUCAAACAGGGUAAGGAACUUGGUUCCUCGAAUAACUUCUGGUACAGACAUCUAAGGGUAUGGCUGUCCAAGAAGAAAAUGUAGCCAUUGGUGCCAUCUAUCGACCACAGGUUAAAGUUUGGCGAUCCGUUGGAUACCGACCGAGUUAUAGGCAAAACUUGGUGCAAAAAUGAAGAAAAUUUUACAUUUUCUCAAACAGGGUAUGGAACUUGGUUCCUCGAAUAACUUCUGGCACAGACAUCUGAGGGCAUGGCUGUCCAAGAAGAAAAUGUAGUCAUUGGUGCCAUCUAUCGACCACAGGUUAAAGAUUGGCGAUCCGUUGGAUACCGACCGAGUUAUAGGCAAAAUUUGGUGCAAAAAUGAAGAAAAUUUUAAAUUUUUUUUGAAUUUUUUGAUUUUUUUAUUAUUUUUCACUCUUUUUUCUAUUUCAAGCAUUAUUAGAGUGAAAAGAAACUCAUUGCAACCCAUUGGCAUUAAAAUAAAACAAUUUAAUUUUUUUUGCAAAAUUUCCCAAAAAAAUCGUAAGGGGUAAGCCUUAUGAAAUUUUCGAGUGGAAAAUUUUUUUGAAAUUUUUUUCUGAUUUUUUAUUCUUUUUUUAAUUUAAAGCACUAUUUAAGUGAAAGGAAACUUAUUGCAACAAAUUCCCAUCAAAAUAUAUCACAUUUAAAAUUUUUGCUACAUUGCUCAAAAAUGAGGAAAAUUUUACAUUUUCUCAAACAGGGUAAGGAGCUUGGUUCCUCGAAUAACUUCUGGCACAGACAUCUAAGGACAUGGCUGUCCAAGAAGAAAAUGUAGCCAUUGGUGCCAUCUAUCGACCACAGGUUAAAGUUUGGCGAUCCGUUGGAUACCGACCGAGUUAUAGGCAAAACUUGGUGCAAAAAUGAAUAAAAUUUUACAUUUUCUCAAACAGGGUAUGGAACUUGGUUCCUCGAAUAACUUCUGGCAGAGACAUCUGAGGGCAUGGCCGUCCAAGAAGAAAAUGUAGCCAUUGGUGCCAUCUAUCGACCACAGGUUAAAGAUUGGCGAUCCGUUGGAUACCGACCGAGUUAUAGGCAAAAUUUGGUGCAAAAAUGAAGAAAAUUUUUAUUUUUUUUUUGAAUUUUUUUUUUUUUUUUUUUUAUUUUUCACUCUGUUUUUUAUUUCAAGCAUUAUUAGAGUGAAAAGAAACUCAUUGCAACCCAUUGGCAUUAAAAUAAAACAAUUUAAUUUUUUUUGCAAAAUUUCCCAAAAAAAUCGUAAGGGGUAAGCCUUAUGAAAUUUUCGAGUGGAAAAUUUUUUUGAAAUUUUUUUCUGAUUUUUUAUUCUUUUUUUAAUUUAAAGCACUAUUUAAGUGAAAAGAAACUUAUUGCAACAAAUUCCCAUCAAAAUAUAUCACAUUUAAAAUUUUUGCUACAUUGCUCAAAAAUGAGCAAAAUUUUACAUUUUCUCAAACAGGGUAAGGAACUUGGUUCCUCGAAUAACUUCUGGCACAGACAUCUGAGGGCAUGGCCGUCCAAGAAGAAAAUGUAGCCAUUGGUGCCAUCUAUCGACCACAGGUUAAAGUUUGGCGAUCCGUUAGAUACCGACCGAGUUAUAGGCAAAACUUGGUGCAAAAAUGAAGAAAAUUUUACAUUUUCUCAAACAGGGUAUGGAACUUGGUUCCUCGAAUAACUUCUGGCACAGACAUCUGAGGGCAUGGCCGUCCAAGAAGAAAAUGUAGCCAUUGGUGCCAUCUAUCGACCACAGGUUAAAGUUUGGCGAUCCGUUGGAUACCGACCGAGUUAUAGGCAAAACUUGGUGCAAAAAUGAAAAAAAUUUUACAUUUUCUCAAACAGGGUAUGGAACUUGGUCCCUCGAAUAACUUCUGGCAGAGACAUCUGAGGGCAUGGCCGUCCAAGAAGAAAAUGUAGCCAUUGGUGCCAUCUAUCGACCACAGGUUAAAGAUUGGCGAUCCGUUGGAUACCGACCGAGUUAUAGGCAAAAUUUGAUGCAAAAAUGAAGAAAAUUUUUAUUUUUUUUUGAAUUUUUUGAUUUUUUUUUAUUUUUCACUCUGUUUUUUAUUUCAAGCAUUAUUUGAGUGAAAAGAAACUCAUUGCAACCCAUUGGCAUUAAAAUAAAACAAUUUAAUUUUUUUUGCAAAAUUUCCCAAAAAAAUCGUAAGGGGUAAGUCUUAUGAAAUUUUCGAGUGGAAAAUUUUUUUGAAAUUUUUUUCUGAUUUUUUAUUCUUUUUUUAAUUUAAAGCACUAUUUAAGUGAAAAGAAACUUAUUGCAACAAAUUCCCAUCAAAAUAUAUCACAUUUAAAAUUUUUGCUACAUUGCUCAAAAAUGAGCAAAAUUUUACAUUUUCUCAAACAGGGUAAGGAACUUGGUUCCUCGAAUAACUUCUGGCACAGACAUCUGAGGGCAUGGCCGUCCAAGAAGAAAAUGUAGCCAUUGGUGCCAUCUAUCGACCACAGGUUAAAGAUUGGCGAUCCGUUGGAUACCGACCGAGUUAUAGGCAAAAUUUGGUGCAAAAAUGAAGAAAAUUUUACAUUUUUUUUUGAAUUUUUUGAUUUUUUUAUUAUUUUCACUCUUUUUUUAUUUCAAGCAUUAUUUGAGUGAAAAGAAACUCAUUGCAACCCAUUGGCAUUAAAAUAAAACAAUUUUAUUUUUUUUGCAAAAUUUCCCAAAAAAAUCGUAAGGGGUAAGCCUUAUGAAAUUUUCGAGUGGAAAAUUUUUUUGAAAUUUUUUUCUGAUUUUUUAUUCUUUUUUUAAUUUAAAACACUAUUUAAGUGAAAAGAAACUUAUUGCAACAAAUUCCCAUCAAAAUAUAUCACAUUUAAAAUUUUUGCUACAUUGCUCAAAAAUGAGCAAACUUUUACAUUUUCUCAAACAGGGUAAGGAACUUGGUUCCUCGAAUAACUUCUGGCACAGACAUCUGAGGGCAUGGCCGUCCAAGAAGAAAAUGUAGCCAUUGGUGCCAUCUAUCGACCACAGGUUAAAGAUUGGUGAUCCGUUGGAUACCGACCGAGUUAUAGGCAAAACUUGGUGCGAAAAUGGGCCUUAGUGGAUUGACAAAUUGAUAGAUUUUUUCAAUUUUUUCAUUAUUUUUUACCUUUUUCUAAUUUAAAGCAUUGUUUGAGUGAAAAGGAACUAAUUGCAACAAUUUCGCAUUAAAAAAAACAAAUUUUUAAAUUUUGCUAAAUUUCUCAAAAAAAUGGCAAGGGGUACCCCUUAUGAAAUUUUCGAGUGGAAAAUUUUUUUGAAAUUUUUUUCUGAUUUUUUAUUCUUUUUUUAAUUUAAAGCACUAUUUAAGUGAAAAGAAACUUAUUGCAA
Long non-coding RNA from Anopheles funestus (African malaria mosquito), 10039 nucleotides. RefSeq lists it as uncharacterized. The transcript is spliced from 5 exons. NCBI's taxonomy places the organism in Eukaryota, Metazoa, Arthropoda, Insecta, Diptera, Culicidae. The record is from RefSeq and is a predicted model, not a curated record.